AGUGAACGCUGGCGGUAGGCCUAACACAUGCCAGUCGAACGGCAGCACAGUAAGAGCUUGCUCUUACGGGUGGCGAGUGGCGGACGGGUGAGGAAUACAUCAGAAUCUACUUUUUCGUGGGGGAUAACGUAGGGAAACUUACGCUAAUACCGCAUACGACCUACGGGUGAAAGCAGGGGAUCUUCGGACCUUGCGCGAUUGAAUGAGCCGAUGUCGGAUUAGCUAGUUGGCGGGGUAAAGGCCCACCAAGGCGACGAUCCGUAGCUGGUCUGAGAGGAUGAUCAGCCACACUGGAACUGAGACACGGUCCAGACUCCUACGGGAGGCAGCAGUGGGGAAUAUUGGACAAUGGGCGCAAGCCUGAUCCAGCCAUACCGCGUGGGUGAAGAAGGCCUUCGGGUUGUAAAGCCCUUUUGUUGGGAAAGAAAAGCAGCAGGUUAAUACCCCGCUGUUCUGACGGUACCCAAAGAAUAAGCACCGGCUAACUUCGUG
This 492-nucleotide ribosomal RNA is filed under the name uncultured bacterium. RNAcentral's name for it is "partial 16S ribosomal RNA". It matches the Rfam family "Bacterial small subunit ribosomal RNA", at positions 29 to 507 of the family's 1533-position model. The record is from RNAcentral.